Molecule: ribosomal RNA, 457 nt
Filed under: uncultured bacterium
Lineage: Bacteria
Description: bacterial SSU rRNA
Rfam family: Bacterial small subunit ribosomal RNA
Source: RNAcentral
UACGGAAGGCAGCAGUGGGGAAUAUUGCACGAUGGGCGAAAGCCUGAUGCAGCUAUGCCGCGUGUAUGAAGAAGGCCUUAGGGUUGUAAAGUACUUUCAUCGGGGAGGAAAAAACAAAACUAAUAAUUUUAUUUCUUGACGUUACCCGAAAAAGAAGCACCGGCUAACUCCGUGCCAGCAGCCGCGGUAAUACGGAGGGUGCUAGCGUUAAUCAGAAUUACUGGGCGUAAAGAGCACGUAGGUGGUUUUUUUAAGUCAGAUGUGAAAUCCCUGGGCUUAACCUAGGAACUGCAUUUUGAAACUGAAAUACUAGAGUAUCGUAGAGGGAGGUAGAAUUCUAGGUGUAGCGGUGAAAUGCGUAGAUAUCUGGAGGAAUACCUGUGGCGAAAGCGGCCUCCUAAACGAAUACUGACACUGAGGUGCGAAAGCGUGGGGAGCAAACAGGGAUUAGGAUACC